Molecule: ribosomal RNA, 468 nt
Filed under: uncultured bacterium
Lineage: Bacteria
Description: partial 16S ribosomal RNA
Rfam family: Bacterial small subunit ribosomal RNA
Source: RNAcentral
GACGAACGCUGGCGGCGUGCCUAACACAUGCAAGUCGAACGGAAAGGCCCUGCUUUUGUGGGGUGCUCGAGUGGCGAACGGGUGAGUAACACGUGAGUAACCUGCCCUUGACUUUGGGAUAACUUCAGGAAACUGGGGCUAAUACCGGAUAGGAGCUCCUGCUCCAUGGUGGGGGUUGGAUAGUUUCGGCGGUUGGGGAUGGGCUCGCGGCUUAUCAGCUUGUUGGUGGGGUAGUGGCUUACCAAGGCUUUGACGGGUAGCCGGCCUGAGAGGGUGAACAGCCACAUUGGGCCUGAGAUACGGCCCAGACUCCUACGGGAGGCAGCAGUGGGGAAUAUUGCACAAUGGGCGGAAGCCUGAUGCAGCGACGCCGCGUGCGGGAUGACGGCCUUCGGGUUGUAAACCGCUUUCGCCUGUGACGAAGCGUGAGUGACGGUAAUGGAUAAAGAAGCACCGGCUAACUACGUG